CACCGCCCGUCACAUNACGAAAGUGGGCUGUACUAGAAGACGCCCGAGCCCAAACCCCGCAAGGGAGGCAAGCGUCCACGGUAUGGUCCAUGAUUGGGGUG
RNAcentral lists this ribosomal RNA (101 nucleotides) under uncultured bacterium. RNAcentral describes it as "partial 16S ribosomal RNA". The record is from RNAcentral.